Molecule: ribosomal RNA, 468 nt
Filed under: uncultured bacterium
Lineage: Bacteria
Description: partial 16S ribosomal RNA
Rfam family: Bacterial small subunit ribosomal RNA
Source: RNAcentral
GAUGAACGCUGGCGGCGUGCUUAACACAUGCAAGUCGAACGGUGAAGGCGGAGCUUGCUCUGCUGGAUCAGUGGCGAACGGGUGAGUAACACGUGAGCAAUCUGCCCCUGACUCUGGGAUAAGCGCUGGAAACGGCGUCUAAUACUGGAUACGAGCUGCGAAGGCAUCUUCAGCAGCUGGAAAGAACUUCGGUCAGGGAUGAGCUCGCGGCCUAUCAGCUUGUUGGUGAGGUAACGGCUCACCAAGGCGUCGACGGGUAGCCGGCCUGAGAGGGUGACCGGCCACACUGGGACUGAGAAACGGCCCAGACUCCUACGGGAGGCAGCAGUGGGGAAUAUUGCACAAUGGGCGAAAGCCUGAUGCAGCAACGCCGCGUGAGGGACGACGGCCUUCGGGUUGUAAACCGCUUUUAGCAGGGAAGAAGCGAAAGUGACGGUAACUGGAGAAAAAGCGCCGGCUAACUACGUG